RNAcentral lists this ribosomal RNA (238 nucleotides) under uncultured Lactobacillus sp. RNAcentral's name for it is "partial 16S ribosomal RNA". It matches the Rfam family "Bacterial small subunit ribosomal RNA", at positions 123 to 355 of the family's 1533-position model. Lineage: Bacteria; Bacillati; Bacillota; Bacilli; Lactobacillales; Lactobacillaceae. The record is from RNAcentral.
AACCUGCCCAAGAGAUCGGGAUAACACCUGGAAACAGAUGCUAAUACCGGAUAACAACAGAUGAUGCCUAUCAACUGUUUAAAAGAUGGUUCUGCUAUCACUCUUGGAUGGACCUGCGGUGCAUUAGCUAGUUGGUAGGGUAACGGCCUACCAAGGCGAUGAUGCAUAGCCGAGUUGAGAGACUGAUCGGCCACAUUGGGACUGAGACACGGCCCAAACUCCUACGGAGGCAGCAGUA